This 84-nucleotide transfer RNA is filed under the name Alphaproteobacteria bacterium. Its description in RNAcentral is "tRNA-Leu". It matches the Rfam family "tRNA". From Rfam's summary of the family: Transfer RNA (tRNA) molecules are approximately 80 nucleotides in length. Their secondary structure includes four short double-helical elements and three loops (D, anti-codon, and T loops). RNAcentral also lists the same sequence under 1 other name. Lineage: Bacteria; Pseudomonadati; Pseudomonadota; Alphaproteobacteria. The record is from RNAcentral.
GCGGGUGUGGCGAAACUGGUAGACGCGCAGGAUUUAGGUUCCUGUGACUUUGUCGUGGGGGUUCAAGUCCCUCCACCCGCACCA